UACGUAGGGGGCAAGCGUUGUCCGGAAUCAUUGGGCGUAAAGCGCGUGUAGGCGGCUCGGUAAGUCUGCUGUGAAAGUCCAGGGCUCAACCCUGGGAUGCCGGUGGAUACUGUCGAGCUCGAGUCCGGAAGAGGCGAGUGGAAUUCCUGGUGUAGCGGUGAAAUGCGCAGAUAUCAGGAGGAACACCAAUGGCGAAGGCAGCUCGCUGGGACGUGACUGACGCUGAGACGCGAAAGCGUGGGUAGCAAACAGG
This 253-nucleotide ribosomal RNA is filed under the name uncultured bacterium. RNAcentral's name for it is "partial 16S ribosomal RNA". It matches the Rfam family "Bacterial small subunit ribosomal RNA", at positions 524 to 776 of the family's 1533-position model. The record is from RNAcentral.